AACGAACGCUGGCGGCAUGCCUAACACAUGCAAGUCGAACGAGAUCUUCGGGUCUAGUGGCGCACGGGUGCGUAACGCGUGGGAAUCUGCCCUUUGGUUCGGAAUAACAGUUGGAAACGACUGCUAAUACCGGAUGAUGACGAAAGUCCAAAGAUUUAUCGCCAGAGGAUGAGCCCGCGUAGGAUUAGCUAGUUGGUGUGGUAAAGGCGCACCAAGGCGAUGAUCCUUAGCUGGUCUGAGAGGAUGAUCAGCCACACUGGGACUGAGACACGGCCCAGACUCCUACGGGAGGCAGCAGUGGGGAAUAUUGGACAAUGGGCGAAAGCCUGAUCCAGCAAUGCCGCGUGAGUGAUGAAGGCCCUAGGGUUGUAAAGCUCUUUUACCCGGGAAGAUAAUGACUGUACCGGGAGAAUAAGCCCCGGCUAACUCCGUGCCAGCAGCCGCAGUAA
Molecule: ribosomal RNA, 449 nt
Filed under: uncultured bacterium
Lineage: Bacteria
Description: partial 16S ribosomal RNA
Rfam family: Bacterial small subunit ribosomal RNA
Source: RNAcentral